Molecule: ribosomal RNA, 523 nt
Filed under: uncultured bacterium
Lineage: Bacteria
Description: bacterial SSU rRNA
Rfam family: Bacterial small subunit ribosomal RNA
Source: RNAcentral
AAAGCUGAUGCANCAUGCCGCGUGUGUGAAGAAGGCUUAGGGUUGUAAAGCACUUUCAGCGAGGAGGAAAGGGGGUAAGUUAAUACUUUAUCUCUGUGACGUUACUCGUAGAAGAAGCACCGGCUAACUCCGUGCCAGCAGCCGCGGUAAUACGGAGGGUGCGAGCGUUAAUCGGAAUUACUGGGCGUAAAGCGUGCGUAGGCGGCUACUUAAGUUGGAUGUGAAAGCCCUGGGCUCAACCUGGGAACUGCAUCCAAAACUGGGUGGCUAGAGUGCGAGAGAGGAGUGUGGAAUUUCCUGUGUAGCGGUGAAAUGCGUAGACAUAGGAAGGAACACCAGUGGCGAAGGCGACACUCUGGCUUGACACUGACGCUGAGGUACGAAAGCGUGGGGAGCAAACAGGAUUAGAUACCCUGGUAGUCCACGCCGUAAACGAUGUCUACUAGUUGUCGGUUGUCUUGUACGACUGGUAACGCAGCUAACGCGAUAAGUAGACCGCCUGGGGAGUACGGCCGCAAGGUUA